GUGGGGAAUAUUGGACAAUGGGCGCAAGCCUGAUCCAGCCAUGCCGCGUGAGUGAUGAAGGCCUUAGGGUUGUAAAGCUCUUUCACCGGUGAAGAUAAUGACGGUAACCGGAGAAGAAGCCCCGGCUAACUUCGUGCCAGCAGCCGCGGUAAUACGAAGGGGGCUAGCGUUGUUCGGAAUUACUGGGCGUAAAGCGCACGUAGGCGGAUAUUUAAGUCAGGGGUGAAAUCCCAGAGCUCAACUCUGGAACUGCCUUUGAUACUGGGUAUCUCGAGUAUGGAAGAGGUAAGUGGAAUUCCGAGUGUAGAGGUGAAAUUCGUAGAUAUUCGGAGGAACACCAGUGGCGAAGGCGGCUUACUGGUCCAUUACUGACGCUGAGGUGCGAAAGCGUGGGGAGCAAACAGGAUUAGAUACCCGAGUAGUCC
Molecule: ribosomal RNA, 425 nt
Filed under: uncultured bacterium
Lineage: Bacteria
Description: bacterial SSU rRNA
Rfam family: Bacterial small subunit ribosomal RNA
Source: RNAcentral